Molecule: long non-coding RNA, 396 nt
Filed under: Populus trichocarpa (black cottonwood)
Lineage: Eukaryota; Viridiplantae; Streptophyta; Magnoliopsida; Malpighiales; Salicaceae
Description: long non-coding RNA (PTRI_LNC004443)
Source: RNAcentral
UUUUGCAUAUGGCUCACUGCUGUGGGGUCUCAUGUCGGCUCACAGCUGGAUCCCUAGGGUCUCUGUUCCCUUUGAUGCUGUCACUUAAAUCAGCUGGUCUUGGAGCUGGUUUUGUUUGGCUGGUUCUGGUUCUGCUUAGUAGGGGUAUGUCCCUCUAGGCUUUUUGUUUUUGUUUUGUCUAUUCCCUGCAUGAGGGAUGUUCAUGCUUGUUGAUUGUGGGUUCUUGUUCCCUUUAGCGUUCACGGGAGUCUGUUCCUGUUGAUGUUUUGUUCAAGGGAGCCUGUUCCCUCUGCCUGCACUUGUACGACUUUUGUAUUGCUGGUUUCCAGCUUGUAUUGCAAGCUUGUCUUGCUCUUUUUGAUCUAUACAAUUCUUACAUUUGAUCAAAAAAAAAAA